UUUUUUCCCUCUAGGUUCUAUAUUCUUCUAAUUCUGAUUUUAAUUGGUUUUGAGUUUUAAAUGUAUUAUUAUAUGUUUCUAAUGAUUCAUACAGGAAGGGAAGUGAUGCAAGUAAAUAUGAAAUUUUAAGCGUUGUAAAAAAAUACAGUUAAUAUUUUGGUUUUUAAGUCGGUAGAUAUGAUAUUAAUGUAGUGUUCACUAUAUGAACGUGUUGUGUGUAUGGUAGCAUUUGUAACCUUAUGUGGACACAAAUCGCAAUUUCUCUCCGAUAGAUGCAUACACACCCUCCAUCCAAGAAAUGAUUUGAUUUCAUGAAAGAGAUUUCACUACAAUCAAGACCCUCUCCAAUGUAACACCCAUAAGGCGCCCGAGGUGGAAGUGAGAGAAGAGUUGUAUGCAAUUGUGGCGAGGAGAGAUGGGAGCCCAUAGGCAUGCAUGUGCCCAUGGGAUCGGAGGACCAAUUUGUGAAAGAGGAAGUAGAGAGAAGAGAUAACGGGGUGUGGAGAGGAGAGAGAAUGCCGGUUACUAGCCUGUAAACAUGGGCAUUGUCAGCGCCUAUUUUCCCCGUUAGACCAUGUGUAGCGGUGCACAUGAAUAAUGCCUCUACCCAUGGGUGUUGUGCACCAUGUGGCAAUCCAGUCAGCAAUGGGGCAUUAUGGGGUGUUUUUCUAAAAUGUGUGUAGUAGGGAGGCGGGUAUUAUGUUAAAAAAGGGAUGUAAAUAAAAUUAAAUAAAAAAAAUCAAAAACCUUUAUUGGACAAAAAAAGUAGAACAACAUUGAUUGGUCAAAUCUUUUGAACACGGCGUGGAAAAAACAACGCCAAAAUGAGCAUUUUUGAAAAAAAAAACCGCCCAGGGGCGGGCUUGGGGGCGUGGAAUUCAACAAAAACGCCCAAAAUUUGACGACUACGGUCUUAAUAGGUCACUCGAGAAAUCAUACAUCCAUUGUUUAAUUUAAGAUCAAACUCUUGCUAGCAACACAAUAUUCUUUUUAUCAAAUUCCCUCGAACCAAACAAAAAAUAAAGUAAUGAUAGCCAUGUAAGAGUAUCUAGAGGACUGCUAAAAAGUGUUCAAGUGACAAGUAAAUUUAUUGAAUGUUUUAAAACUUAAUCCUUCAACUUAGGAUUACAACUAAAAUUUCACAGCUCACCCCUAUACGAAGUCGUUAAAAUAACUUCUUCAUGGUGAUAACAUCAUCAUCAUACAAGUAAUAACAAACUUGAGAAUAUACACUACUAAUGUACUUACUACAUACAUGCUUCAGUUUGGGACAAAAUGGACAGGGCUUUUAUUGUUGAUGGCAUACUCUUCUUCUAGAGAGCCCAACAAUACAAAAACAUGGCACUGGCAGUACAAAUGUACAAUAAUAAGAUGAUAAUUAAAUUUAAAUUUGAAGCCAAACAAGCCUGGUGAGAGAUGAAAUAUAAAUAUGAAACAAUUGCUAACAUGCUGCUAAUAAAUGAUAAAACCUAACACAUAAUCAACUCUUGAUUUGAUUGAUCACUGCUUCCUUUCUUUCUCAUGUGAUUUGGUUUGAGGCAAUGUACCAAACACACUGUCCCAAAGAGAUGAUGUUAUCCCAAAUCCUUUUGUUUGAAUUCGGAAAUGAUGAUUUAAGUGGUAUUUCUGCGUAAAAACCAAUUCAUCGUUGUAAGUUUAUAUGCUAGACCAUGAAAGUUCAAAAAACAAAAGCCUAAAACCGAAGAAACACUAACGGGUCGUUCUCGGUUAAAAACUAGGCUACUAUUUUAUGCUAUGAUUAAAAAGACUGUUCGUAUUUUUUUGUGAUACUUGUGAGAACCCGUCACUAGAAAAUUAACGGGCCCCACAAAAUACCUUGCUAAAACACCAGUGGAAACUUGAUACUUUGUAAUAGUGACAGUGGAUGAAGUGGUCACUAUAGCUUGGCAUUUUCAGAAAAGAAAAAAUAAACGACAAACAUUUCAAAUAGAAAUUAUUGCAAUUUUUUAACAAGAGUUAGUAAUUAGAUUAACCUUGAGACUUUUGGAGAUUUCAUUUCUUGGCUGACCAUUAUGCAGGUAGUAAUGGGUGCAAUCAUACAUCACAUAACCCAGCAAAAUACCAGCAAAUAAAGCAGGAGCGACAGUAGGGGUCGAUAUCAGGUUUAAAAUCUUCCAUAACUGCCAAUCAUGACAUCUUGCUGCAGGUUAAAGGAAUUAAACUCACAUCGUCACUACGCACACACCGGAGUUGCAGACACUGUGUGAUUUGAUCAUGCUUCAACUGAGAUUGAAAUUGAAAGUGCAAAGGAGUGGAAGAACAAUCAGGAACUUUCAAUGUGUGAAAUCUAGACCUAACCUAAAGCAUUUCACACAGAAAACACCGAAUUAGCAGACGAUACAACACUAAUGACGAAAUUAGGGUUACAGGUAGCAUUACGUACAUGAUGCAGCAGCUGCAAUUGAGUGUUGUUGAAUCCGAUACAUGUGCUGCUGGAAGAAGACAUGGAGACAGACGAUGAGUGGAGAAUUACGAUUGGGUUGUAUGAGUUUUAUAAAUGUGGGUUUAAUUUAAUUUUGUAUAGAGUUAAUUACUGUUUUCGUCCCUGAGGUUUGUCAAAAAUAACGGUUUCAGUCCAUUAGUUUCAUUUUCGUAACCAUUUCAGUCC
This 2629-nucleotide long non-coding RNA is filed under the name Helianthus annuus (common sunflower). RNAcentral's name for it is "hypothetical non coding rna". The record is from RNAcentral. Lineage: Eukaryota; Viridiplantae; Streptophyta; Magnoliopsida; Asterales; Asteraceae.